Molecule: long non-coding RNA, 300 nt
Filed under: Volvox carteri
Lineage: Eukaryota; Viridiplantae; Chlorophyta; Chlorophyceae; Chlamydomonadales; Volvocaceae
Description: long non-coding RNA (VCAR_LNC003035)
Source: RNAcentral
GAUAAGCUUGUCAAUAGACGAAGAACGGCGGUGACAUCAACAGCACAACUGUCCUGGCACGUACACAAGCUCACCUGCUCGUACACAAGCUGUUGACCAAGGCACGUGAGCAUAUCUGUGCUUAUGAUUAUUUAAACUGGGCACGCGCGGAUGGACGGUCAUGGAAUCCGCAACAACAGAUAUUGAGGUGGCAGAGCCGUUACUUGGGCCAGCGGGCAGUGCCGGUGAUGGUCCGGCUCUACUGUUCCCAGCACCCCCACCCCCACCUCCGAAACGCCAACGCCGUGGCCCUUCCUCCGC